RNAcentral lists this ribosomal RNA (200 nucleotides) under uncultured bacterium. RNAcentral's name for it is "partial 16S ribosomal RNA". It matches the Rfam family "Bacterial small subunit ribosomal RNA", at positions 30 to 230 of the family's 1533-position model. The record is from RNAcentral.
AUUGAACGCUAGCGGGAUGCCUUACACAUGCAAGUCGAACGGCAGCACGGACUUCGGUCUGGUGGCGAGUGGCGAACGGGUGAGUAAUGUAUCGGAACGUGCCUAGUAGCGGGGGAUAACUACACGAAAGCGUAGCUAAUACCGCAUACGCCCUACGGGGGAAAGCAGGGGAUCGCAAGACCUUGCACUAUUAGAGCGGC